This 76-nucleotide transfer RNA is filed under the name Pseudomonadota bacterium. RNAcentral's name for it is "tRNA-Ala". It matches the Rfam family "tRNA". From Rfam's summary of the family: Transfer RNA (tRNA) molecules are approximately 80 nucleotides in length. Their secondary structure includes four short double-helical elements and three loops (D, anti-codon, and T loops). Lineage: Bacteria; Pseudomonadati; Pseudomonadota. The record is from RNAcentral. RNAcentral also lists the same sequence under 3 other names.
GGGGCCGUAGCUCAGUUGGGAGAGCGCUUGAAUGGCAUUCAAGAGGGCGGGGGUUCAAGUCCCCUCGGCUCCACCA